GCACACAACCUCAAUUGUUGCGACACUUUCAAGUUAACUCUAACUUGAAUACUCAAAAUACCUAAUACAAUUUUCUUCUCUGAAAGCCAAAAGGUACAACAUUAAAUCACCUACUACAAUUGAACUAGAAUUAGAAAAACACAAUGGAACUGGUUCUUCAAUCUUGUUCAAGUAGCUGCAGGCGUGCACACUUGAUCUCACGUAAAUUGCUUGCAAAAUAGUCUUGCUAUUUUUCUCUCAAUUUAGCUCUUCUUUGUAUAUGUGCGUACCUGUACAAGAGAAUAAUAUUACUUUUAUAGAGUUAGUAAUCACAUUUUGACAAUAACUCGAAUUGCUGAACCUUCCUCAAGUUCGAGUCCUAGAACAAUUAAAACUCAAAUUCCUUAUCCUUAAUCCGGAUAUAGUUCUCUUCACAUAAGGAUAACGUUUCUCCUUAUCCCAUAUGCAAUAUUUUUUAUCAGUUCAAAAGGUAUUCAGAAGAUAUUGCUGCUCGAUCUCAAAAGGCUUAUCUUCUUCACGUGCAUCUCACGUGCAUAGGCCAUAACAACUGUGUCUCCUAAGACGGACCUGGUCCUUCACUGAGUUCAUUUGUCAUUCUUCAAAACUUCAACUAAAUUUGGUCCAACAAAUUCCCCCUUUUUGAAGUUGACGAACUCUAUGCUUUUACUGAUCAGAGAACCUGUGGAACUCAGCUUAAUUUUCACAUUUUCACACUUUUAAUUUAACUUAUCAUUAAGAACCAUGUUUAAUCAGGUUAUAAAUAUUACUUCAUUUCAGAAUACAAAACUACUACUAAAGCACAAUAUCUCUUCCCCCUUCUGGCAUCAUCGAAAAGAUGCAAAUUAUAUAAAUCCAGAUAUUAAUUAGUACUCAUGGCCGCUGGGGCAACUGCAAGUGAAAACAUGAUUCAGUUAACCUAUAAUCAACAGUACAAAGAAUUUAACUAUUAAGAUCAGAAGUUUCAUAGAACAAGAGAAACAAAGUGCAUUGUCAUUGAUUAGGAGAUGUUUCUACAAUACAGACCACAAAAAGAAAUAUAAACAUUCAACCAUGAGCAAAGACAGAAAAUCCUUAAUCUGGGUCACUGAGGGGGUAGUUUAAACUGGAUUUAGGGCUUGGAGGUACGAGAGGGAUGGGUUUGGAGAAGGUUGAACAUAUUCUGAAUCAUUCCAUCACUCUUCUCCUUUUCCUUUGCUAGCUCAGCUCUAAGUCCAUCUCGUUCAGUUUCUACUUCAACAACAUGAACCUUCAGCCUGGCAAUUUCAGCAUCUUUUGUUCCACACUCCUGAACCAAAGCCCUGACCUUGCUAUUUACAGGAGUUUUUUGAGAUGAACCUGGUUCAACUAGAUUGACAUUCACUGGAUAGUCGCAGGCCAUAAGAGUCUUGACACCAAAGUGCUCUUUGCUAGAUGCCAUUUUCCAUUUCUUCAAUGGCACAUGUAGCUUUUCCAGAAUAGCAGUCAAUAGGAACCCAUAAGGUGUGACAUGAGCUUUAGAGUCGUUCAUGACUCUAUCGUAGUUUCACGAUGAAUGUAUGCCAGUUAAUCUGCUUUCUUCUCACAAGACACUCUAGAAGAACCAGGUCCAUGUAGUUAGUUAUGUGCCUUCUCUCCUGUCUAGGCAACAAACAUUUGUUCACAAACUCGAAAAUCACCUUAUGCUCAGCCCUCAUCUCAUUUUUCUGAACAAAUCAAGCCUCAGUCACAUCUUCAAGAGUUGCAGAAUCACAAAAGUUUCUGGUGAUUUGGAGUGCAUCAAGAAGAGAUUCCAGGCAUGGCCACCUUUGCCUUGUAUAAUCAUCAUAUCGCACACAGGGAAUGCCUAGAAGUUUCCCCAAUUUAGGAGCAUCAAACUGUACCUUGACCCCUUUCACCAGACUGGUAACAAUCUCAUUCACUACUGUGGCAUUUACCAUAAAUUCGAUAAACUCAUUUCUUGCGAGUUUUCCAUCUAGCUGAAGAACCAUGUUCUUCCAUCCUUGUGCAUUCAGGGCAUCAAUCAAUCCUUUCAUGUCUGGCUCCUCCAGGUCUUUCAGAAUUCUUCCUUUCAAGAUCUUUCUCCUGCCAAAGAGGACAAAUCUAUCAUGUUCCUUUUCAGAUUCCACCUCUUCUUCUUCUCCACUUCAUUCUUCUUCUUCUUCAAUAAUUUUCUUUUGUUUUCUCUUCCCACCAGACCUAGUUCUUUUGGCCAACGAGGACUUAGCAGAUAUGGGAUUUAUUCUCCACUCCAUUCUUCUUCUUCUUCAAUAAUUUUCUUUUUUUUUCUUUACUCGGCAGAUCUAGUUCUUUAAGCCAAUAAGGACUCAACAAAUAUGGGUACAGAGGAAUUCUUUUUAGUUGAAGUCUUGGAACCUCUUCGUUUGGGUGAUGGUACUUUUUCAGUUGUUCCUCUUUCUUGAUGGACCAGGUCCAUCUCCUCUUCUUCUUCCUCUUCUACCUUGAUGUUCUCUAAAACUUUCGCGUUCCUUUUUUCUCUCUUUUUCUUCCUGCUUUUUUUCAGUGCUUUCUGCAGUUGUUCCUCACUUUAUUUAACCUUGCUUCUAGUUGCUCUUGAGGAGACAGUAGACUUAGGGGAUGAUAUUUUGGUUUUCUUAGUUGGCUUGGAAGCAGUUGGAGCUUUUAGGGAAGAAGCCUUGCGCUUUUUUGGAUCAUAACUGGCCCCAAUUUUCUUCAAGAGGUCAGCUAGGGUUUCCUCACCAGAUGAACCACUUUUACCGUGUUGCUUACUUAGGUGAACAAGACCUUCAGCAGCAUCCCCGGAGCUAUUUCCCCCUGACUUGUUGCCACUCUCCUCAACAUUUCCACAAAUCGCAAGAAUUUCAUCUUUCUUUUUCCUUCUUCUUCGAUUAGAUUCAUCUCCCCUCACAUCUUUCAAUGCACCCACUAAAACAAAGAUAUUUUCUUCGUUGUCGACUGCAUCAGAGGAACCAUGGCAUGUAUUCACUUUUCUAGGGUUUUCUUGAUUUUUGUCUAUGUCAGAAGACCCCCGUUCUUCUCCACACUUGUAGAUACAAAGGAUUCAAACUCAGAACUCGAGUCAAAUGAUUCCUUUUUAGAGUGCUCCCUUUUCUAGAUGGAUCUCAAUUUUUCGUUUAGAGCCACUCUUAGAGCGUCAGUGGCUACAGUCUUCCUUGCCAACAUCUUUUGUUGGCGAAAUCUGGGUUUAGGAUUAUUGCUAGGGGUGCAGGCGAGGAUGUAUUGGGAGAUACAAGUGAGAGCGUCCCUAGAUUUGCUUGAGGUUUAGACAUGGUGAAGGAUUUCUGGAAGAUUUUGGGGACUUUUGGUGAUUUUGGGGAAAAGAAUGAUCAGUGGUUUAGCACUUAAUGAUGGUUAUGGACCAAAUUAGGAUUAUGUGGAGUGUAUUUAAAAAUAGAGAAUGAUUAGUGAUGACAACCUUUUGCAGUGGUCAAUCAGGAGUCUAAUCCCAUUAAGACUCCAGUCUUUAAUUAGCACUAGUUUUUAGGAACAAGUCCCAUUUUUCUUUAGAAUUCUAGGAGAAUAAACUGGUCCAUUGCUUAGCAGUUAUAUUUUUGGGAGUUUGGUUAGAAUAGGACUUCUGCUCAUAAUUGGAAUAUUUAAUUUUCAACUUGUGCAAAGUAUAGAAACAUAACUCACCUUUUAUCAUGAGCAUAGACUGAUGAACCAGGUUCUUCUAGUAGAACUUCUCUUGAGAAUGCCUCAUCUAUCAGAAUAGAAAAAAACUUGUAAUAGAUCAAUGAAUUAAAAGAAACAUAUCAUAGGAGUAUACUGAUUAGAGUAUAAGAAUGAGUAAGAAUUAGUCCAGAUAUUCACAUAAAGUCAGAACUUCUAACCAUUUUCUUUCAUUGCAUUUUGAACUAGACCUGAUCUGGUGAUCUUAAUCAUUCCUAAUUCCAACAUGUUCCUUUCAAAGUUUUCUCUACUUAGUGCUUUAGUGAAGAUGUCAGCUAUUUGUUUAUAUCAGUAGCAUAAAAUUCUAUGGAGAUUAAUCCUUUCUCAUAGUUAUCUCUCACAAGUGAUGUCUAACAUCUAUGUACUUG
Molecule: long non-coding RNA, 4019 nt
Filed under: Nicotiana benthamiana
Lineage: Eukaryota; Viridiplantae; Streptophyta; Magnoliopsida; Solanales; Solanaceae
Description: long non-coding RNA (NBEN_LNC037278)
Source: RNAcentral